Molecule: ribosomal RNA, 254 nt
Filed under: uncultured bacterium
Lineage: Bacteria
Description: partial 16S ribosomal RNA
Rfam family: Bacterial small subunit ribosomal RNA
Source: RNAcentral
UACGUAGGGAGCGAGCGUUGUCCGGAUUUAUUGGGCGUAAAGAGCUCGUAGGCGGUUUGGUAAGUCGGGUGUGAAAGCUCCGGGCUCAACUCGGAGAGGUCACUCGAUACUGCCAUGACUGGAGUCCGGUAGGGGGGUGUGGAAUUCCCAGUGUAGCGGUGAAAUGCGCAGAUAUUGGGAGGAACACCGGUGGCGAAGGCGGCCCACUGGAUCGGUACUGACGCUGAGGUGCGAAAGCGUGGGGAGCAAACAGG